Molecule: transfer RNA, 71 nt
Filed under: Euhamitermes hamatus
Lineage: Eukaryota; Metazoa; Arthropoda; Insecta; Blattodea; Termitidae
Description: tRNA-Ser
Rfam family: tRNA
About the family: Transfer RNA (tRNA) molecules are approximately 80 nucleotides in length. Their secondary structure includes four short double-helical elements and three loops (D, anti-codon, and T loops).
Source: RNAcentral
AGUUAAAAAGCCACAGAAAGGCCUAAUGUCUUGAAAACAUUAAGAAAGAAGUUUGAAUCUUCUAUUAACUU